GAACGAGACCGUGGAUCACUCCACUGAUUACAGUGUGCGACCGGUGUGAGUAACACGUGACCAACCUGCCCUCGAGUGGGGAAUAACUCCGGGACAACGGAGCUAAUACCGCAUAACAUCGCAAGAUCAAAUCCGCAAGGCGCUUGAGGAGGGGGUCGCGGCUGAUAAGCUAGUUGGUAGGGUAAUGGCCUACCAAUGCGAAGAUCGGUAUCCGGCCUGAGAUGGCGCACGGCCACACUGGAACUGAAACACGGUCCAGACUCCUACGGGAGGCAGCAGUGGGGAAUUUUGCGCAAUGGGGGAAACCCUGACGCAUCAACGCCGCGUGGAUGAUGAAUUCCCUUGGGACGUAAACUCCUUUCGACCGGGACGAUACUGACGGUACCGGAAUACUAAUCACCGGCUAACUCUGUGCCAGCAGCCGCGGUAAU
This 431-nucleotide ribosomal RNA is filed under the name uncultured bacterium. RNAcentral's name for it is "bacterial SSU rRNA". It matches the Rfam family "Bacterial small subunit ribosomal RNA", at positions 64 to 524 of the family's 1533-position model. The record is from RNAcentral.